RNAcentral lists this ribosomal RNA (1128 nucleotides) under Cellulomonas sp. ACB59. RNAcentral's name for it is "bacterial SSU rRNA". It matches the Rfam family "Bacterial small subunit ribosomal RNA", at positions 23 to 1164 of the family's 1533-position model. Lineage: Bacteria; Bacillati; Actinomycetota; Actinomycetes; Micrococcales; Cellulomonadaceae. The record is from RNAcentral.
CUCAGGACGAACGCUGGCGGCGUGCUUAACACAUGCAAGUCGAACGGUGAAGCCCAGCUUGCUGGGUGGAUCAGUGGCGAACGGGUGAGUAACACGUGAGCAACCUGCCCUCCACUUCGGGAUAAGCCUUGGAAACGGGGUCUAAUACCGGAUAUGAGCUCGCAUCGCAUGGUGUGGGUUGGAAAGUUUUUCGGUGGGGGAUGGGCUCGCGGCCUAUCAGCUUGUUGGUGGGGUGAUGGCCUACCAAGGCGUCGACGGGUAGCCGGCCUGAGAGGGCGACCGGCCACACUGGGACUGAGACACGGCCCAGACUCCUACGGGAGGCAGCAGUGGGGAAUAUUGCACAAUGGGCGCAAGCCUGAUGCAGCGACGCCGCGUGAGGGAUGACGGCCUUCGGGUUGUAAACCUCUUUCAGCAGGGAAGAAGGCUUCGGUUGACGGUACCUGCAGAAGAAGCGCCGGCUAACUACGUGCCAGCAGCCGCGGUAAUACGUAGGGCGCAAGCGUUGUCCGGAAUUAUUGGGCGUAAAGAGCUCGUAGGCGGUCUGUCGCGUCUGGUGUGAAAUCCCGAGGCUCAACCUCGGGCUUGCAUCGGGUACGGGCAGACUAGAGUGCGGUAGGGGAGACUGGAAUUCCUGGUGUAGCGGUGGAAUGCGCAGAUAUCAGGAGGAACACCGAUGGCGAAGGCAGGUCUCUGGGCCGCAACUGACGCUGAGGAGCGAAAGCAUGGGGAGCGAACAGGAUUAGAUACCCUGGUAGUCCAUGCCGUAAACGUUGGGCACUAGGUGUGGGGCUCAUUCCACGAGUUCCGCGCCGCAGCUAACGCAUUAAGUGCCCCGCCUGGGGAGUACGGCCGCAAGGCUAAAACUCAAAGGAAUUGACGGGGGCCCGCACAAGCGGCGGAGCAUGCGGAUUAAUUCGAUGCAACGCGAAGAACCUUACCAAGGCUUGACAUGCACCGGACGCUUCCAGAGAUGGUUGUUCCGCAAGGUCGGUGCACAGGUGGUGCAUGGUUGUCGUCAGCUCGUGUCGUGAGAUGUUGGGUUAAGUCCCGCAACGAGCGCAACCCUCGUCCCAUGUUGCCAGCGGGUUAUGCCAGGGACUCAUGGGAGACUGCCGGGGUCAACUC